CGUUGCUCUAAAUGUGCAUCAAGAUUAACAAGGAGCUGGAAAACCCUCUUGGAGUUUCCUGCUGCUGUCACCUUAGUCACGUACUUGUGUUGGAGAGCUGAAAGGAAACAAAGGCAAUGCUUUGAUGUCCUGGAUUGCCAGGAAAACUGAACCAGUCGCACUCCAGUGCACUUGGAGAGGGUUGUAAGGAUGCAAGGCAGAAUGAGCUCACCUUGCCAGUGGAUGAGAGAGACCAUGAAUAAACCACAGUGGAAUUAGAUUAGCACAGAAGUUAUUCCCCAUUGCUGCAAUCACUGCCUCUGAAGAAACUGCCCAUUUCCAUUCCUUCUCCUCUGAGCUGUGAAGAGGAGCUCAUAGCUCCAGAGUGGCCAGACAUCUGCAUGU
Melospiza melodia melodia is the source of this 384-nucleotide long non-coding RNA. RefSeq lists it as uncharacterized. Lineage: Eukaryota; Metazoa; Chordata; Aves; Passeriformes; Passerellidae. The transcript has 3 exons. The record is from RefSeq and is a predicted model, not a curated record.